Molecule: long non-coding RNA, 715 nt
Filed under: Struthio camelus australis
Lineage: Eukaryota; Metazoa; Chordata; Aves; Struthioniformes; Struthionidae
Description: lncRNA (ENSSCUG00000005131.1)
Source: RNAcentral
CUUUGGGGUCCUUGUUUCCUUUUAGAGAAAGAAUGUGUCCGUGUUGAAUCUGGAAUAAAUUGCAGUAUGAUCCAUACUGCAAUUUUCAGACAGACGAUCGACCUCAAUUGAAAUGACACUAGUGCCUGAAGGAGAUGGUUUUUCCUUGGAGUGCCUGGCUAAAGAGAAAGGAAAGCCGAGGCAGAGAACACUUCAGAGCUAAUUGCCCUAAUCCGAACGCUGCAUGAGAAGUGCUGUGCCAAAGCCAAGUGCUUGCCGGGUGGCCUGCUUCGCUGCGGGGAGCUGCUGGCUGCAUGGGGGUGGCCAGCAGCCGGACCACUUGCCAGGCUCUGCAGAAAUGCAGUACUCCUAGACUUCCUCUGGCCGCCCUGCGAGACUGUCCGUUCCCAAAUAAGUGUUUCUCAGAAAGAGAGAGCCAGCACCACGUAACCAGACAGCUGUAAACCUUCAACUGCAGGCCACUGACAGGAAUCUAUAGACCAUCAGUUUGGGAAUCCUCUGCUUUAGACCUUUAAAUGUGUCAACAUUUAUGUAAGUCAGAUACAGUCUUCAAUAACAAGUAAAAUGAUAUUAUGUAGCUAAACAAUUUUUUACCAUGUUCGUGUCACUGUAAUGCUAAGAGGUUCAGACAUUGUACGAAAUGUUUACUAAUGGAAAUUUUAUGUCUCUAAUAGCUAGGUAAUAAAAAUUGAAAGUAUAUAUGAGCUAUAAAUUU